GCGCCGGGAGCCCGGGCGGCCGGCCGGGGGGCUCGGCGUGGGGAAGGGAUGGACGGCCGGGCGGCAUCUCCUUCUGGGCCCGGGGCGACCCGGCUGGGCGCGGCCGCCCGCCCGUAGACCGUGCUUCCCGCGCCUGCCGGGCGCCCCGCCAUUUCCUGCGGCCGGACCCGGGUGGGGUCUCCGGGCAGGGAGCCGCUCGGGGUCGCGCAUGCAGCCUUGCUGGGACAGACGGGUGUCUUGUGUCCCUCUUCGGGUGGGCGGGCGAGGGUCGCCGCAUCCUAGCUCAGAGCCCUGCGUGGGGGGAGGGGGUGCCAGAGGAAACGUGAGGCAGACACAUUCCUCCUUUUAGAGCAUUCUUCUAGACCCGGGGCUCACUCCCCUCUUGUCUUCUUUCUCGAUACCCUAACUUGUAAUAAAGAAUCACCUAGUUAGUGUGCCCUGUCUCACCUGGCUUUUGCUGCCCCGGCCUAAGUCUGUAAUUCUGUCUGUUUUGCUCUGCUCGCCGGAAUCAUGCUCGUCCCGUCUUCCCACGCCCCGGGUCUGGUUUUGUGUGCGAAGACCCCCACCCUGCAGUUUAGGCGUGGAUGCGGGCGGGAGGGCGGCGGGCAUGGGGCCCCACUCUCAGGUUUGAUGCUGCCUGGAGAUUAAAAGAGGUGUGACUUAAAAGCGAGACGAGCCAGUGUGCCUUUGCAUUUCCCGAGACCCUCACAGAUCGAUCUGCAGCCUGAUUUCCGGUGAAGGAGCCGGGCCAGCCACACCCUAGCAAAUGCCUUGGAUUAGACACCACCUGCGUUUCUGAGAGUUCCGGUUAUCCUCUUACGGUCCCUGUGUCUUAACCUUAAUUUACAUUUUCUCUAAAUGCACAUUACUUUCUCUCUGCCUCAAGGUCACACAAUGGUCAAGAUACAACUGCCGCCACCCACCUACUGUGUUCAUCUCGUGUACAACCUCCUGAGACCAGGGAGGCUCCGUCUGGGCCCCUCCUUAGACUUAAAAGAUUCUGAAACUCUGCGGGUGGGAUCCUGAAAUCUUCACUUUACCCAGUUCUCGUGACAAAUGUUAAUGGGCUUAAAUUUGGGAAUUAUUUCUCUGGGUCAUAGCUCGUUUGUCCUUUUCCUUGUGAGGGGAUUUCUUAGGGGAAAAAAAAACCUAUAAAUCCAUAGAUACCAUAAAAUUUCAGAACCAUUUGAAAAGUUUCUUUUAAGGCUUUUGAUAUUAAUAUCACAUGAAGUAUGUUGUUGAGGUCAAUAAUUAGGGUUAUCCAGGUAAAAAACAUACUCGAGUUGUGUUUCCCAUGGUGUCCUUACUACACUUGAACAAGGUGUGCUCGGAAACCGCCACCACGGCCCAUUUGUUGAUUCAGUGGUGACAUGACAUGAUGUCAUGGAUUAGAUAGGACCUUUUCAUCCAAACGGACAAAAGGUUUAGAACUGAAGUCUGUGCAAUUCUGAAGGCCCUCUUUAAGAAAAGUGUAUUAAUUUCAGAAGUUUUUCAGAAACAGGACUGGCUAUGUAAACUCCUUUCCUUGAAAGAGGUCCUGUGCUUUAAUUUCUCUGUGAUAAACACUCCAACAGAAAGUCAUAGUUAAGUGAGCCCCUUCUCCCCAGUAAUGGAAUGGUACAGGGGUUAGGCCAGGUGAGUUCUCUCUGCAUGUUUUAGUGGGGCCCUCGCUAACCCUGUGAGUCGUAGGAGCCCUUUGGGGAACGAAGGGAUGAGGCUUGAAAGAAGGUGUGUUGUGGAGCUCUAGAAAACCUGAGGCAACCUAAAGGGAAUGGAGAGAGGUAACCAGAAUAAAAUACAGCUUGGGGAGAGAAAAAACUGGUUUUCAGUUCUUCAUAUGCAGGUUUGAAAAUGCUUUCCUGCAGCUACUGUGCCCAGUUUUUCUCUGAGGCUUUUAACAUAGCAUUUUGCCAGCUAGUGGAUCCCCCCAUGUGUUGGGAGUCGGAUAGCCGGGUCUGAAAUGAUUGAUGGGUUGGAUAAGCCAUCCAGCGUCGAAAAGGCAAUCCAAGCUUUAAUCAUGUCAUCUCAGAAUUGCAAUAAACCACUUCCUCAGGGUAACUUCUGUUAAAAAAUAACCUUUUUUUUUUGGAUGCCUUAUUUUAUGUGUGUGUAUAUGUCAUUUAAAUUAAUGCAUUUGUUGGGAAGGACUUUGCAGGGGUUGUUGGGAAGGAGACCUUAGUUGGUGUUUGUAUGUUAAGUUCUUAAUAUUAUGGAGAAGACUCAAUCUUCAUUUUAAUGUCAUCACAAGCCUUAGGAAGAGCUUUGGGAAAGGGUGAAUUCUAGUAACCCUCUGAGUUAAUGUGGGUUUUCUUCAGGGCAGGUAAGUAGACUGCUGUAAGGAGGAUGGAGCAGCACACCUGAGUGAAGUCAUGUUCUGAUGCCACCACUUUGACCUUGAAACUUACAUCUUGGUUUUGGGUCCUCUGCAGUAUAAAACUAGUAAUGUUGGUAUUAUUAUCAGUUUGUUUUUAGCCUUCAUUUUUCUAACUCAUUUUCUUUUUCCCUUAUAAUUUAAAUGGUCACCUAAUAAUACUGCCUGCUUGUAUGAUUGGUGUUUUUUAUGCUAUACCAGCGUCACCUGGAGGAUGCUGGCGAAUGGCGUGGGUAAGCUGUGAGAAAAAUCAUGCGUAUUGGGAUCAGUGGUGCUGUCUGGCAUCAGUUGAGAAGGGCAGUUCCCUGCCUCACUCCGUAAUCUGAAGAGACAAGAAGUGUUUCUGAGGCGAAACAGGGCCUUGACGCUUUCCUCAUCUCAUACCCACUAGCGUAUAUCGAGUAUAAUAAUGGCAAGGAACCCUGAAAGAUUGUGGAACCCCAAGCCUUUAUCAGCACUGACAAAGGAUGGGCAGAAAGAAACACAUCCGAAGGACUUGAAUACCUGCAGAAAUCUCAAGAGCAGGAAACAAAGCUGCAGCUUAAGGAAACAGGAGUCAGAGAGGAAGAGGCACUUGGCCCAGGCAGUGAGUGCAAAGGGCUCUCUUUCCAACAGCUGUGAGAUUAUGGGAAGUGGGGGAGUGAGCAGGUGGUGUGUAAAAAGAGAGCAUGGCUGAGCGGCCCCGAGUGAGACGUACGUAACCCAUGUCUCAGAGUGUGAAACGAAAGAUGAUUUUGAGGUCUACCAGAAUUGUGGUCAGUGUGAAAAAUACACACAUGUGCACACACACACACUAGUAGGUCCCGUUUCCCACUAACCAGUCAUUUGAGAUGUAAUUAUUGCAUUGUCACCUAUUGUCUGAGGAAGAAGGCAGGGUCUGGAUUCUUACAAUAGUCUGAAUUAAAAGGCAUCUCAAAUAGUGAGCGAUUCACAGCUUCGUUGCACUGAAGUGACAGUUGUGGACCCUGCCUGGGUUUGGGUUCCCUGAAUUGUCCUUGGAAGAGCUCUCAGAGUCAAGGGACCUGCCACUGUGCCAAAGAAACCAAAAAUGUUUUCUCGUUUUUGUCGAAUUCUGUAUUAGGGGAAGGCUGCAGUUUUCCAGAAAUAGAGUUUGACAGGGUUACCCCCCAUGUGUUUUUCAUGUUACAGUUAUCAAGUUUGUGAAGUCUUUCUUCUGACUUACUAGGCACUCAGUAAACAGUAGCUGUUACUACAUGUGUACAUUCUCAUUUAACCUUUAUAACCACUCUGGGUGGGUACUGUUAUUAACUGUUUUACAAAUGAAGUUUUGAGUUUAAUUUUGUCCUGGUCAAAUUGUAAAGCCAGGAUUUGAACUCUUAAAUUUAGAGCUCUCCCUUAAACCACCAUGUGAUAAUACCCCAUGAGG
Phyllostomus discolor (pale spear-nosed bat) is the source of this 3758-nucleotide long non-coding RNA. RefSeq lists it as uncharacterized. The record is from RefSeq and is a predicted model, not a curated record. The transcript has 2 exons. Lineage: Eukaryota; Metazoa; Chordata; Mammalia; Chiroptera; Phyllostomidae.